This 399-nucleotide RNase P RNA is filed under the name Streptomyces radicis. Its description in RNAcentral is "Streptomyces sp. DS1-2 RNase P RNA component class A". It matches the Rfam family "Bacterial RNase P class A". From Rfam's summary of the family: Ribonuclease P (RNase P) is a ubiquitous endoribonuclease, found in archaea, bacteria and eukarya as well as chloroplasts and mitochondria. Lineage: Bacteria; Bacillati; Actinomycetota; Actinomycetes; Kitasatosporales; Streptomycetaceae. The record is from RNAcentral.
CGAGCCGGCCGGGCGGCCGCGUCGGGGUCCGAAGGACCUCGCCGAGGAACGUCCGGGCUCCGCAGGGCAGGGUGGUAGGUAACGCCUACCUGGGGUGACCCACGGGAAAGUGCCACAGAAAGCAGACCGCCGGUCGUUCGCGGCCGGUAAGGGUGAAACGGUGGUGUAAGAGACCACCAGCGCCCAGGGUGACCUGGGCGGCUCGGUAAACCCCACCCGGAGCAAGGUCAAGAGGGAGCGCCCCGGCGCUCCUGCGCGGAUGAUCGAGGGCUGCCCGCCCGAGUCCGCGGGUGGACCGCACGAGGCCGGUGGCGACACCGGUCCUAGAUGGAUGGCCGCCUCCCCCGGCGCCGCGAGGCGCCGGGGAGACAGAACCCGGCGUAGAGGCCGACUCGUCCG